Bombyx mori (domestic silkworm) is the source of this 1787-nucleotide RNA transcript. RefSeq lists it as uncharacterized. The transcript has 2 exons. The record is from RefSeq and is a predicted model, not a curated record. Lineage: Eukaryota; Metazoa; Arthropoda; Insecta; Lepidoptera; Bombycidae.
UUAAACAAAGGAUCACUCUUAAGUUGCCUCUCCUUACUAGAUAUCUUUAUUUUUAUCGCUCAUAUUAACUAAUUUUGAUCAAUUAUCGUUUGUUCGACGACUAUUGGUGAUUGUUCGAAAACAAUUAAAUUCCCAAUUAUUAAUUAAUUGUAAAUAAAUAAAAGACGAACAAACAAUUUUUACAUUCGAGCAUUAACGAACAAACGACGAACAAAUAAUUAAAAAUUAAAAAAAUCCAAAAAACAAAAAAAGGGGGCCCAAUUUACAGAGCCGGAGUGAGGACAUUGAGGACUUUUUGGCGGGAGUGGGAGGAGUGAAGUUGUGUAAUUUGUUUUAUUUUGUUUAAUUAUUGUUUCUUCAGGUUUAAAUGUGUAAUAACGGUGGUUUAUUAACUGUUUAAUAUCGGUGAAAGUGCACAAAUGUGGGAAAAUGAAAGAAAGCCGCUGGACGUAGCUUCUCGUCCAAAAAGCCCACUGAAAAAAUCUCAGUAAAUGACCACCAUUUUACAACGAUUAUAUUGCAUCCCAUAUCAUCUAUAUCCAGUGCCAGAAUCAUCUCAUUUCAUUUAAUUUCAUCCCAGUUGAUUAAUCUAUUAUUAAUUAUCUUCUUUUCAUUCUAUUUACCAUCAUAUUUCAUAAAAAUAAGAAUAUAAAUUAAAAUAAGACAUGACUUAAAGGUCUUAGUUACAGGUCAUAAAAUCCCUUAAAAUAAAACAUAUUUCAAUCUUAAUAGGCUCUUUAUAAAGUCAUGUUAUUGUACUAAAUUACAAUGGCUCAAAAGAGUCAUUACCAAACACAAAAUAUUUAAAGAAAUAUAUUACAAAAAUAUUUACAAAAAAUGAAACUCGAUUCAGGGACCGUAUCAACACUAUCAACGGAAGAAAGAUAUCAUGAGAGAAAAUUAAAUUUUAUAAAGAACUGAAAAUAAAAAAUCAGUAAAUUUAUAACUAUGACAGCAUAUUAAUUACUAUGGAAAUUAAACAGAAUCCACUUCAAACGCAUAUUUCGUCUCGGUUAGAAGAUAAAUCAGUGCGAAACAGUAGAGGUAGACCAAACGCAAGAAACACGAUUGUUUUUAGUCCUCAGCCUAAAUCAACAAUUGCUGAAUUUUUAUCAAAACAUAAAAAGAGUCAAGACAAUGUUUCUAAAGCAAGUCUACAAAUUACUGAAACAAAUGACUGUGAAAAAUAUAAUUUGAUUUGUGGACUUUGUUCUCAUAGGAGUGCUGACAUGAAGAGUCAUAAAAAGCACAUGAUGGAUCAUAAGCAAUUUAUUUGCGACUUUCCUAGUUGUAAAUACAGUUCUAAAUUGUCUUCAAAUCUCUUAAAACAUAAGAGGGUUCACACCAAUGAAAAACCGUAUCUUUGUGAAAAGUGUUCAUUUAGAUCAAACUUCAUCAAUUCUCUCAAAGUCCACAAAAGAACUCAUUCAUCAGAUAGGCCGUAUCAGUGUAAACAUUGUAAUUAUAAAUGCAAUAGUAGUUCAAAUCUUAAAAAACAUUGUUUGCAUCGACAUCAUAACUAAAAGAAAAAUUACAUACAUUUGGGUUUUCUAGAUUAGUAUUUUUUAGAGUAAAAUUCCAUACUACAAUUUAGUGUAAUGUGUCAUAUUAUUAAAUAUGAGUAUUUCUUAUUCAUAUAAGAUAAACUUUCAUGACUUAUCUUAUUUCUUAUUAGUACUAAGUGCCCAUAAAACACUAACAUUGAAAUGUUAUGAGGACUUUUUUUUCAUUGAAUAAUUCACAGCCAGAAAAUUUGAAUAAAAGAAAAAUAAAUUGAAUUGUUGCUA